GGAUCAAUUUGCUGGUCGUGCUAUGGUACGUACUGGUCUUGUUGGUUCCUCCUUUCCGAGGAGCUGUGAUGUCAUUAAUUUGGUGUCGCGGGGAAUCAGGACUGUUACUUUGAAAAAAUUAGAGUGUUUAAAGCAGGCUAACGCUUGAAUACAUUAGCAUGGAAUAAUGAAAUAGGACGUAUUGAUCCUAUUUUGUUGGUUUCUAGGAUCGACGUA
Molecule: ribosomal RNA, 216 nt
Filed under: uncultured fungus
Lineage: Eukaryota; Fungi
Description: partial small subunit ribosomal RNA
Rfam family: Eukaryotic small subunit ribosomal RNA (bases 39-216)
Source: RNAcentral